CCAAAGAGAAGCAAACACAGAAAAGUCUUCCCAGUUACUCGCAGCCGGGAAGGCAUUGUCGAUCAAGGAACAAAAGGCGCGAGUUGGACCCCAAGGCCUCUCCGGCACACCCGGCCGCACCUCGGCCCCGCCCCAGCCUCUCUGGGAGCUCGGUUCCUCCCGCCCUCUUUGUCUGGCUUCACUGCUCAGCCUAAAGGCAGCUGCGCUAUGUAAAACGUCCACCAAGCAUCAAGCUUAAGGGCUCUCUUGUGUUCCUGAGGAUAAAAAGGCGCCGGGGGGUGCGUAACGCAGAAAUAGAUUAGCUUCAUGCAGGUGGGAGUCCCAGUGCCGCUGGGCGUUCGCUCUGCGUUAGAGAAUCGGCUCUAUCUACUGUACGCAGCUGACAAAAGGGAGGCCAGGGAUUCGCAGAAGAUGCACCUUGUGUUUACUCGAGGGCAAUGGUUUGGAGUUUGUUAAUGCAGCGCGCACAGUGCAUUUAUAGACACCUCCUUAUAACAAGCUUGAAUAAUGAGAAGCACAGUGAUCUGAGGUGCACUAUUGGAUGACCCUUUACCUCCGUACGCAUCCAUCACGUAGGCAACCAAGGGAACAUUUCCCACCCCUGAAAGAUCCCAGCGGUACCCAUAAUACUGUGUACCCAUAAUACUGACUGUUUGUUAGCUUUGCCUCCUCUUGUACUUAUACAAAGACAA
This is a long non-coding RNA of Fukomys damarensis (Damara mole-rat), 692 nucleotides long. RefSeq lists it as uncharacterized. Lineage: Eukaryota; Metazoa; Chordata; Mammalia; Rodentia; Bathyergidae. The record is from RefSeq and is a predicted model, not a curated record. The transcript is spliced from 3 exons.